CAAUAAAAACAAACAAGGGCAUACGGGGAAUGCCUAGGCUCUGCAAGGCGAAGAAGGACGUGAUAAGCUGCGAAAAGCCGCGGGGAGGUGCAAAUAACCGAUAAUCCGCGGAUAUCCGAAUGGGGCAACCCACCAUAUAAAUGGUACCUCGAAACGAGGAGCGAACCCUCUGAACUGAAACAUCUAAGUAAGAGGAGGAAGAGAAAACAACAGUGAUACCGCAAGUAGUGGCGAGCGAACGCGGCACAGCCCAAACCGGACACGUUUAGGCGUAUCCGGGGUAGUAGGACUGCGAGAUACAAGUAUAAAAAGAACCGGAACGGCAUGGAAAGGCCGUCCGUAGAAGGUGAAAGACCUGUACGGGCAAUUUUUAUACGCGUUAGCAGUAUCCUGAGUAGGUCGGGGCACGAGAAACCCAGACUGAAACCGGCGGGACCACCCGCCAAGGCUAAACACUCAGCAGAGACCGAUAGUGAACAAGUACCGUGAGGGAAAGGUGAAAAGAACCUUGAAUAAAGGAGUGAAAAAGACCCUGAAACCGUAUGCCUACAAGCGGUCGGAGCCCAUUUAUUGGGUGACGGCGUGCCUUUUGCAUAAUGAUCCUACGAGUUACUGUUACCGGCAAGGUUAAGCGCUUCAGGCGCGUAAGCCGCAGCGAAAGCGAGUCUUAAAAGGGCGAAUUAGUCGGUAGUAGUAGACGCGAAACCUUGUGAUCUACCCAUGGCCAGGUUGAAGUGGGGGUAACACCCCAUGGAGGACCGAAUCGGUAAGCGUUGAAAAGCUUUCGAAUGAGCUGUGGGUAGGGGUGAAAGGCCAAUCAAACUGGGAAAUAGCUCGUACUCCCCGAAAUGCAUUUAGGUGCAGCGUCGCGGUUAAGUGAUAUAUAGGUAGAGCUACUGAUUGAAUGCGGGGGCUUCACCGCCUACCAAUUUCAGACAAACUCCGAAUAGUAUAUCACAUACGCGGCAGUGAGGGCAUGGGUGCUAAGGUCCAUGCCCGAGAGGGAAACAACCCGGACCAACAGCUAAGGUCCCCAAAUAUACGCUAAGUUGAAAAAACGAAGUAGAACUGCACAGACAGCCAGGAAGUUGGCUUGGAAGCAGCCAUUCUUUUAAAGAGUGCGUAACAGCUCACUGGUCGAGCGGUUCUGCAUGGAGAAUAAGCGGGCAUAAGCGUAUUACCGAAGCUAUGGCAGAUAACAAUCUGGGUAGGGGAGCAUUCCGUACAGCGCAGAAUCGGUAUUGUAAAGUACCGUGGAGCGUACGGAAAAGCAAAUGUAGGAAUAAGUAACGAUAAAGCGGGCGAGAAACCCGCUCACCGAAAGACCAAGGGUUCCCCGGCUAUGUUAAUCAGCCGGGGGUCAGUCGGGCCCUAAGGACAAGCCGAAAACAGGCUACUCCGAUGGACAAACGUUUAAUAUUACGUUACUCGUAUCGAGUGCGACGGGGCGACCUGGUAAUACCUCUUCGCGUGCUGACGGAAUAGCACGUUAAAGACUUUACUGGGCCGGGAGGCAAAUCCCCCGGCGGAAAGGUAAAGUUGAUAGUACACCCAAGCUACGGCGACGGUGAUAGCAAGACUAAAGAUCAGCAAGAAAAACCUCUAAGCUUCAGCUCGAUACGACCCGUACCGGAAACCGACACAGGUGGUCGAGAAGAGAAUUCUAAGGUGCUCGAGAGAUUCAUGGCUAAGGAACUAGGCAAAAUAGACCUGUAACUUCGGGAAAAAGGUCACCGCAGCAAUGCGGUCUCAGAAAAUAGGUCCAGGCGACUGUUUAACAAAAACACAGGACUUUGCAAAAUCGAAAGAUGACGUAUAAGGUCUGACACCUGCCCGGUGCUGGAAGGUUAAGAGGAGAUGUCCGCAGCAAUGCAAAGCAUUGAAUUGAAGCCCCAGUAAACGGCGGCCGUAACUAUAACGGUCCUAAGGUAGCGAAAU
Molecule: ribosomal RNA, 1938 nt
Filed under: Flavobacteriales bacterium
Lineage: Bacteria; Pseudomonadati; Bacteroidota; Flavobacteriia; Flavobacteriales
Description: bacterial LSU rRNA
Rfam family: Bacterial large subunit ribosomal RNA
Source: RNAcentral